Molecule: ribosomal RNA, 674 nt
Filed under: Vairimorpha ceranae
Lineage: Eukaryota; Fungi; Microsporidia; Nosematidae
Description: SSU rRNA
Rfam family: Microsporidia small subunit ribosomal RNA
Source: RNAcentral
GUAUAUGAGGUGAUUAAUUGGAGGGCAAAUCAAGUGCCAGCAGCCGCGGUAAUACUUGUUCCAAGAGUGUGUAUGAUGAUUGAUGCAGUUAAAAAGUCCGUAGUUUAUUUUUUUAAGAAGCAAUAUGAGGUGUACUGUAUAGUUGGGAGAAAGAUGAAAUGUGACGACCCUGACUGGACGAACAGAAGCGAAAGCUGUACACUUGUAUGUAUUUUUUGAACAAGGACGUAAGCUGGAGGAGCGAAGAUGAUUAGAUACCAUUGUAGUUCCAGCAGUAAACUAUGCCGACGAUGUGAUAUGAAAGUAUUAAUUUGUAUUACAUAAUAGAAAUUUGAGUUUUUUGGCUCUGGGGAUAGUAUGAUCGCAAGAUUGAAAAUUAAAGAAAUUGACGGAAGAAUACCACAAGGAGUGGAUUGUGCGGCUUAAUUUGACUCAACGCGAGGUAACUUACCAAUAUUUUAUUAUUUUGAGAGAACGGUUUUUUGUUUGAGAAUGAUAAUAGUGGUGCAUGGCCGUUUUCAAUGGAUGCUGUGAAGUUUUGAUUAAUUUCAACAAGACGUGAGACCCUCAUUUUUUAUUGAAGACAGACACAAUCAGUGUAGGAAGGAAAGGAUUAAAACAGGUCCGUUAUGCCCUCUGACAUUUUGGGCUGCACGCGCAAUACAAUAGAUAUA